Molecule: ribosomal RNA, 253 nt
Filed under: uncultured bacterium
Lineage: Bacteria
Description: partial 16S ribosomal RNA
Rfam family: Bacterial small subunit ribosomal RNA
Source: RNAcentral
UACGGAGGGGGCAAGCGUUGUUCGGAAUUACUGGGCGUAAAGGGCGCGUAGGCGGCCUUCUAAGUCGAACGUGAAAUCCCCGGGCUCAACCCGGGAACUGCGUCCGAUACUGGAAGGCUUGAAUCCGGGAGAGGGAUGCGGAAUUCCAGGUGUAGCGGUGAAAUGCGUAGAUAUCUGGAGGAACACCGGUGGCGAAGGCGGCAUCCUGGACCGGUAUUGACGCUGAGGCGCGAAAGCCAGGGGAGCAAACGGG